AUGAUGGGGCCUCGUCGGACGUGGCUUCUCUGGGCCUGGCUCGUGCUCCAGUGUGGUGCUGAUCCACCAGCCCACAGCAGCGCCAAGCUCUGCGCUGGGGUACAAUGCGGGCUGGGGACCACUUGCAGAGUGCUGGACGGCAGGCCCAAGUGCGUCCCCUCGCCCUCCUGCAAAAAUUACCAAUGCAAAGACGGGACCCGGUGCCAGAUGGUGGAUGGCUGGCCCCAGUGCGUCCCAGCGCCAUCGUGCAAGAACACCCGUUGUGAAGCUGGAACAGAGUGCAAGAUGGUGGAUGGGUGGCCAAAAUGUGUCCCGUUGCCGUCGUGCAAGAACACCCGUUGUGGAGCUGGAACUCAGUGCCAGAUGGUGGACGGGUUGCCCAAAUGUGUCCCGUUGCCGUCGUGCAAGAACACCCGAUGUGGAGCAGGAACUCAGUGCCAGAUGGUGGACGGGUGGCCCAAAUGUGUCCCGUUGCCUUCAUGUAAAAACACCCGUUGUGGAGCAGGAACUCAGUGCCAGAUGGUGGACGGGUGGCCCAAGUGCGUCCCGUUGCCAUCAUGCAAGAACACCCGUUGUGGAGCUGGAACUCAGUGCAAGAUGGUGGAUGGAUGGCCCAAAUGCGUCCCGUUGCCUUCGUGCAAGAACACCCGAUGUGGAGCUGGAACAGAAUGCAAGAUGAUUGAUGGGUUGCCCAAAUGUGUCCCGUUGCCAUCAUGCAAGAACUUCCACUGCCAAGCAGGAACAGAAUGCAAGAUGGUAGAUGGAUGGCCGAAAUGCGUCCCUUUGCCCUCGUGUAAAAACACCCGUUGUGGAGCAGGAACAGAAUGCAAAAUGGUUGAUGGAUUGCCCAAAUGUGUCCCGUUGCCAUCGUGCAAGAACUUCCACUGCCAAGCAGGAACAGAAUGCAAGAUGGUGGAUGGAUGGCCGAAAUGCGUCCCUUUGCCCUCAUGCAAGAAUACCCGUUGUGAAGAAGGAACGCAGUGCAAGAUGGUGGACGGGUGGCCAAAAUGUGUCCCCUUGCCUUCAUGUAAAAACACCCGUUGUGAAGCAGGAACUCAGUGCCAGAUGGUGGAUGGAUGGCCGAAAUGUGUCCCAUUGCCCUCGUGUAAGAACACCCAUUGUGGAGAAGGAACAGAAUGCAAGAUGAUUGAUGGAUUGCCCAAAUGCGUCCCAUUGCCCUCAUGCAAGAACUUCCAUUGUGAAGCUGGAACAGAAUGCAAGAUGGUGGACGGGUGGCCAAAAUGUGUCCCGUUACCAUCGUGCAAGAACACCCGAUGUGGAGCAGGAACAGAAUGCAAGAUGGUUGAUGGAUGGCCCAAGUGUGUCCCAUUGCCAUCGUGCAAGAACUUCCAGUGUGGAGCAGGAACUCAGUGCCAGAUGGUGGACGGGUGGCCCAGGUGUGUCCCGUUGCCAUCAUGCAAGAACACCCGAUGUGGAGCCGGGACUCGGUGCCAGAUGGUGGACGGGUUGCCCAAAUGCGUCCCGUUGCCUUCAUGCAAGAACUUCCAUUGUGGGGCAGGAACUCAGUGCCAGAUGGUGGAUGGAUGGCCCAAAUGUGUCCCGUUGCCAUCAUGCAAGAACACCCGAUGUGGGGCAGGAACUCGGUGCCAGAUGGUGGACGGAUUGCCCAAAUGCGUCCCGUUGCCGUCGUGCAACAACUUCCGUUGUGGGGCAGGGACGCGAUGCAAGAUGGUGGACGGGUGGCCCAAAUGCGUCCCCGUGCCCUCGUGUCGGAAUUUCCCCUGCAAGGAUGGGACGCGGUGCCAGAUGGUGGCCGGCAGACCCAGGUGCGUCCCCGUGCCCUCGUGCCACAACACCAAGUGCGGCGAGGGCAUGCGGUGCAAGGUGGUGGAUGGAUGGCCCAGGUGUGUCCACCUCCUGCCGUCCUGCCGGGACAUUCGGUGCUUGAAGGGGACCCACUGCAAAAUGGUGGACGGGUGGCCCAAAUGCGUGCGCAAGCAGGUCUUCCAGAGGGAAGUGCCCCCACUGCCAGCUCCCCAGGCGCCCCCCUCGUGCCAAAACGUUCCCUGUACCAAAGGGACCACGUGCAAGGUGGUGGAUGGGUGGCCCCAGUGCGUCCCCACCAAGACGUCCCCAAGGAGACCUUCUUGCGCUGACAUCCACUGUCCCAAAAGGACCACGUGCAAGAUGACGGAUGGGUGGCCCCACUGCGUCCAGAAGCGCCCCUCCUGCAGUGACAUCAAAUGCGAGAAGGGAACCUCCUGCCAGAUCGUUGAUGGUUGGCCACGGUGCGUCCAAAGCAAGACGUCCCCAGGACAACCUUGUCGGGACAUCCAGUGUCCCAAGGGAACCUCGUGCAAGGUGACUGAUGGCCAAGCGCGGUGUGUCCACAACCCACCCUCCUGUGAUGACAUCCAGUGCCAGAAGGGAACCGUGUGCCACAUGGUCGAUGGUUGGCCAUGGUGCGGGCCAACCAAGACCUCCUACUCGCAGCCCGCCCAUAAAACCCUGUCGUGCGAGGACAUCCGCUGCCAAAUGGGGACGGUGUGCAAAAUGGUCGACGGGUGGCCCAAGUGCGUCGGGCCCCUGCCGUCAUGCAACGACAUCCGAUGUCCCCAAGGCACGGUGUGCAAGAUGAUCAACGGUUGGCCCAAGUGCAUCCACAACCCGCCCUCCUGCAGCAACAUCCAGUGCCCGAAGGGGACCAAGUGCCUCAUGGCCCAGGGUUGGCCCCGCUGCGUGCAGAGUGGGCCCUUCCACCACCAGCAACCGGCUUCUCCCAACUGGGCAGGCACCAGGAGAUAUUUCUACUCCCAGCCCGUCCCGAAACAGCUCCCCAGUGCGCAGCCAUCUUGCGCCGACGUGUGGUGUCGCCGAGGGACCUCGUGUAAGAUGAUGGACAACCAACCUCGAUGUGUCCCCAACCCACCUUCUUGUAGUGACAUCCAGUGCCAGAAGGGAACCGCGUGCCAGAUGGUUGACGGUUGGCCCCAGUGCGUUCAAACCAAGAUAUCCCACACGCAACCAACCCAGAAAAAAAGGACGUGUGAGGACAUCCAGUGUGCAAAAGGAACCGUGUGUAACAUGCUGGAAGGUGGACCCAAAUGCAUUGCCCAACGUCGUUCCUGCAGUGACAUCCAGUGUCCCAAGGGGACCACGUGUAGGAUGGCAGAUGGACAACCCCACUGUGUCCACAAUGCACCGUCAUGCAGUGAUAUCCAGUGCCAGAAGGGAACCGUGUGCCAGAUGGUUGAUGGUUGGCCCAGGUGCAUCCAAACCAAGAUAUCUGUCAGGCGGCCUUCUUGCAGUGAUGUCCACUGUCCCAAAGGAACCACAUGCAAUUUGAUCGAUGGUCAACCACGAUGUGUCCACAAUGCGCCCUCAUGCAGUGACAUCCACUGCCAGAAAGGAACCACGUGCCAGAUGGUUGAUGGUUGGCCACGGUGCAUUCAAACCAAGGUCUCACCAAGGCGACCUUCCUGCAGUGACAUCCAAUGUCCUAAAGGGACCACGUGCAACUUGAUUGAUGGCCAACCACGAUGCAUCCACAAUGCUCCCUCCUGCAGUGAUGUCCAGUGCCAGAAGGGAACCACGUGCCAGAUGGUUGAUGGUUGGCCACGGUGCGUUCAAACCAAGAUAUCCAUCAGGCAACCUUCUUGCAACGAUGUCCACUGUCCCAAAGGAACCACAUGCAACUUGAUCGAUGGUCAACCACGAUGUGUCCAUAACCCACCUUCCUGCAGUGACAUCGAGUGCCAGAAGGGAACCACGUGCCAGAUGGUUGAUGGUUGGCCCCGGUGCAUCCAAACCAAGACCUUGGUGAGGCAACCGUCUUGCAAGGACAUCCAGUGUCCCAAAGGGACCACAUGUAGGAUGGCAGAUGGACAACCCCACUGUGUCCACAACACACCAUUGUGCAGUGAUAUCCAGUGCCAGAAGGGAACCACAUGCCAGAUGGUUGAUGGUUGGCCCCGAUGCAUCCAAAUCAAGAUCUCUCCAAGACGACCUUCUUGCAAUGAUAUCCACUGCCCCAAAGGAACGACGUGCAACUUGAUUGAUGGUCAACCACGAUGUGUCCACAAUGCACCCUCUUGCAGUGACAUCCAGUGCCAGAAGGGAACGACGUGCCAGAUGGUUGAUGGUUGGCCCCGAUGCGUGCAAACCAAGACCUUGGUGAGGCAACCGUCUUGCAAGGACAUCCAGUGUCCCAAAGGGACCACGUGUAGGGUGGCAGAUGGACAACCUCACUGUGUCCACAACGUGCCCUCUUGCAAUGAGAUCCACUGCCAGAAGGGAACCACGUGCCAGAUGGUUGAUGGUUGGCCAAGGUGCGUCCAAACCAAGAUGCCCUCUGUGCAACCUACUUGCAGUGACAUCCAGUGUCCCAGAGGGACCACGUGUAAGAUGGAUGAUGGUUGGCCGCUCUGCAUCCAAAACCGACCCUCUUGCCAUGAUGUCCAGUGCCAGAAGGGAACCACGUGCCAGAUGGUCAAUGGUUGGCCCCGGUGUGUCCAAGUCAAGACCUCCAUUAGGAAACCUUCUUGCAGCGAUGUCCAAUGCCCCAAGGGGACCACGUGCAGUUUGAGAGAUGAGUGGCCUCAAUGUGUUCACGACAAACCCUCCUGCAAAGAUAUCCAAUGUCCAAAGGGGACCACGUGUAGGAUCACAGAUGGGUGGGCCAGGUGUGUCCACACCCAGCCUUCCUGCCAUGAGGUCCAAUGCCAGAAGGGAUCUGCGUGCCAGAUGGUUGAUGGCUGGCCCCGAUGUGUGCAAACCAAAACCACCGUGAGGCUACCAUCCUGCAACAACAUCCAGUGUCCCAAAGGGACCUCGUGCAAAAUGCUGCAGGGGUGGCCCCAGUGCGUCCACAGCCAACCCACCUGCAGUGAUGUCCACUGCCCCAAGGGGACCAUGUGCAAUAUUGUCAACGGUUGGCCCCAGUGUGUGCAAAACCGUCCCUCCUGCAGUGACAUCCAAUGCCAGAAGGGAUCAGCUUGCCAGAUGGUUGAUGGUUGGCCCCGGUGUGUCCAAACCAAGAUCUCCCCAAGACGGCCUUCUUGCAACAAUGUGCAAUGUCCCAAGGGAACCACGUGCAAGAUACUAUUUGGUUGGCCUCAGUGCGUUCACAGACAACCAUCGUGCAACGACAUCCAGUGUGAGAAAGGAAGCGUGUGCCAGAUGGUGGAUGGUUGGCCAAGGUGUGUUCAGCACCAGCCAACUUGCAACGACCUCCAGUGUCCUACAGGGACCUCAUGCAGGAUGGCAGAUGGUUGGCCCCAGUGUGUCCAAGUCAAGAUGGCCCCAAGGAAACCUUCUUGCAGGGACAUCCAGUGUCCCAAAGGGACCGUGUGCAAGGUGCUACUCGGGUGGCCUCAGUGUGUCCGCAGACAACCAUCCUGCAACGAUAUCCAGUGCCAGAAGGGAAGCGUGUGCCAGAUUGUAGAUGGUUGGCCACGGUGUGUUCAGAGACAACCUACUUGUAAGGACAUCCAGUGCCCUAAAGGGACUACGUGCUCUGUGUUCAAUGGCUGGCCCCAAUGCAUCCAAAAUCGUCCCUCCUGCAGUGACAUCCAAUGCCAGAAGGGAACCACGUGUCAGAUGGUGGAUGGUUGGCCCCGAUGCAUCCAAACCAAGAUCUCCCCAAGACGGCCUUCUUGCAACGAUGUCCACUGUCCCAAAGGAACCACGUGCAAUAUUAUCAACGGCUGGCCCCAAUGUGUCCAAAAUCGUCCCUCCUGCAGUGACAUCCAGUGCCAGAAGGGAACUGCGUGCCAGAUGGUUGAUGGUUGGCCCCGAUGUGUGCACACCAAGACCACCCUGAGGCUACCAUCCUGCAACAACAUCCACUGCCCCAAAGGGACCUCGUGCAAGAUGCUGCAGGGGUGGCCCCAGUGCGUCCACAGCCAACCCUCCUGCAGUGAUGUCCACUGCCCCAAGGGGACCACGUGCAAUAUUGUCAACGGUUGGCCCCAGUGCGUCCCAAACCGACCUUCUUGCAGCAACAUCCAGUGCCAGAAGGGAACCGCGUGCCAGAUGGUUGACAGUUGGCCCCGGUGUGUGCAAAUCAAGACCUCCAUUCGUAGACCUACUUGCAGUGACCUCCAGUGUCCCAAAGGGAGCAUCUGCAAGAUAACAGACAACUGGCCGCAGUGCGUCUACACCCAACCCUCUUGCAAUGACAUCCAGUGUCGGAAGGGAACCACGUGCCAGAUGGUUGAUGGUUGGCCAAGGUGUGUUCAAAUCAAGGUCUCCCCAGGGCGACCUACUUGUGCAGAUCUCCACUGCUCCAAAGGGACCACGUGCAAGAUGACGAAUGGGUGGCCCCACUGCGUCCAGAACCCACCCUCCUGCAGUGACGUCCAGUGCCAGAAGGGAACCACGUGCCAGAUGGUCGAUGGUUGGCCCCGGUGUGUGCAAGUCAAGACUUCCAUCAGGAGACCGACUUGUAGGGACGUCCAGUGUUCCAAGGGAUCCAUGUGCAAAAUGCUACAUGGGUGGCCGCAGUGUGUCCACUCCCAGCCCUCCUGUCACGAUGUCCAGUGCCCCAAAGGGACCGCAUGUAAUAUGGUCAACGGAUGGCCCCAGUGCGUCCAAAAUCGUCCCUCCUGCAGUGACAUCCAGUGCCAGAAGGGAACGACGUGCCAGAUGGUUGAUGGUUGGCCCCAAUGCGUCCAAACCAAGACCUCCAUUAGGGGACCUUCCUGCAGGGAUAUUCAGUGCCCCAAAGGGAUCACGUGCAAGAUGCUGCAUGGGUGGCCUCAGUGUAUCCAUAGACAACCCUCCUGCAGUGACAUCCAGUGCCAGAAGGGGACCACGUGCCAGAUGGUCGAUGGUUGGCCCCAGUGUGUCCAAACCAAGGCCUCCCCAAGACGGCCUUCUUGCAACGAUGUCCACUGUCCCAAAGGGACCACGUGCAAGAUGACAGAUGGGUGGCCACGGUGUGUCCAUAGUCAACCUUCCUGCAGUGACAUCCAGUGUCCCAAAGGGACUACGUGCAAUAUUAUCAACGGCUGGCCCCAAUGCGUCCAAAAUCGUCCCUCCUGCAGUGACAUCCAGUGCCAGAAGGGAACCGUGUGCCAGAUGGUUGAUGGUUGGCCCCGAUGUGUGCAAACCAAGACCACCCUGAGGCAACCAUCCUGCAACAACAUCCACUGCCCCAAAGGGACCUCGUGCAAGAUGCUGCAGGGGUGGCCCCAGUGCGUCCACAGCCAACCCACCUGCAGUGAUGUCCACUGCCCCAAGGGGACCACGUGCAAUAUUGUCAACGGUUGGCCCCAGUGUGUGCAAAACCAUCCCUCCUGCAGUGACAUCCAAUGCCAGAAGGGAUCAGCUUGCCAAAUGGUUGAUGGUUGGCCCCGGUGUGUGCAACUCAAGACCUCCAUUCGUAGACCGUCUUGCAGGGACAUCCAGUGUCCAAAGGGGACCACGUGCAAGGUGAACGAUGGGUGGCCGCAGUGCGUCUACACCCAACCCUCCUGCAAUGACAUCCAGUGUCCCAAGGGCACGGCCUGCACGAUGACAGAGGGUUGGCCCCAGUGUCUUCCCAGCCAUCCCCUCUUCCGCUCUGCACCCUGGGGUCACCCUGCUUCUGCCCCCCAAAUUUCCGCUGGGGUCUCCCCCAUCCCCUCGUCCUGCAGUGGUGCCCACUGCGCUGCCACCCUUGCGUCCUGCCAGAAUUUUGCCUGCAAGCCCGGCACCGUUUGCAUGGUGGUGCACGGCCACCCCACGUGUGUCUCCCGACCUUCGUGCAAGAACCUCCACUGCCAAGCGGGGAUGGGCUGCAAGCUCCUCAACGGGUGGCCCCGCUGUGUCCGCAUCCCCUCGUGC
Molecule: long non-coding RNA, 7788 nt
Filed under: Anas platyrhynchos platyrhynchos (common mallard)
Lineage: Eukaryota; Metazoa; Chordata; Aves; Anseriformes; Anatidae
Description: lncRNA (ENSAPLG00000018733.1)
Source: RNAcentral